RNAcentral lists this ribosomal RNA (429 nucleotides) under Gemmatimonadota bacterium. RNAcentral describes it as "Gemmatimonadetes bacterium partial 16S ribosomal RNA". It matches the Rfam family "Bacterial small subunit ribosomal RNA", at positions 355 to 776 of the family's 1533-position model. Lineage: Bacteria; Pseudomonadati; Gemmatimonadota. The record is from RNAcentral.
UAGGGAAUCUUCGGCAAUGGACGAAAGUCUGACCGAGCAACGCCGCGUGAGUGAAGAAGGUUUUCGGAUCGUAAAACUCUGUUGUUAGAGAAGAACAAGGACGUUAGUAACUGAACGUCCCCUGACGGUAUCUAACCAGAAAGCCACGGCUAACUACGUGCCAGCAGCCGCGGUAAUACGUAGGUGGCAAGCGUUGUCCGGAUUUAUUGGGAGUAAAGCGAGCGCAGGCGGUUUCUUAAGUCUGAUGUGAAAGCCCCCGGCUCAACCGGGGAGGGGCAUUGGAAACUGGGAGACUUGGGUGCAGAAGAGGAGAGUGGAAUUCCAUGUGUAGCGGUGAAAUGCGUAGAUAUAUGGAGGAACACCAGUGGCGAAGGCGGCUCUCUGGUCUGUAACUGACGCUGAGGCUCGAAAGCGUGGGGAGCAAACAGG